Meleagris gallopavo (turkey) is the source of this 7659-nucleotide non-coding RNA. The record is from RefSeq and is a predicted model, not a curated record. NCBI's taxonomy places the organism in Eukaryota, Metazoa, Chordata, Aves, Galliformes, Phasianidae.
AAUAUGAACACUGUCUGCACACACUCUGCUCUUGUUCUGAAAGAAAGGAGGACAAGAGGGAGGGAGAAAGAGACGCUGCUACUGAUAAUCCCAGAGUCAUUUUGGAGUUGUGGUACUUACAUCCUGGACAGACUGAAUUUAAUCCAGUCUAGGAGAGAAGGAUUUGAUCCUAACUUUAAAAGUACAAUUACCUGACUGCUCAGCUACAGAUAUUUAAGUCUUUUCUAAGCUACAUUUCACCUGAAGAUCAUCUUAGUUGCAUGGGCCUAACAAUGUGAACACCAAAGGUAUGUGCGUUAGUUGUGCAUGCAAAUCCCCUGCAGCUUUUUUCGUUAUUGUGCUGUAACCUGAUGCCACAUCGAGAAUGCAGCGCCUGGAGCACCCCACACAGCCCUGCCACAGCUCACAGCAGUUUCCUUGCUCACAGGGCACCUUUUGGGCUUGGAAAGCAGUCUGGUUUUAAAUGUUACUGUUGCUAGGGAGCUCUUGUUAACAUUUUACCAAAGGCUGUUCAUUCCAGAGAACCAGACUGCUCAAUACUCAUUCUGAAUUCCUAAUAAUCUUUCCGUACUUUGUUGUUGCUGUUGAUUGUUUCUAAGUGACAAUACAAGCUGGAUUUUUAUUUAUUUAUUUAUUUGUUUGUUUGUUUGUUGUACUGCAAAAAAUAGAGCAAAAUCUUGUUCUUGGCUAAAAUCGGUUGCUGAGUCUACUCAAACAGGUAAAUGCUUCCAUCUCCUGGCAGGUCACAGUUUAUUUUCAUUGGAUCCUGUGUGGUUUGGGAGGUGCCAAAUAGGUGCAAGUUAGUAGCAUCUGUGGCUAGGUAGUUCUGGCAGCAGAGGUGAGGGUAGCUUGCUGGAUGAAGGAGAAGGAUAGCAGGCCUCCAGAUGAUGCUGGUGAGCAGAGACACACAUGUUGUCUGGGCAUUAACAUGCCCUGGGUAAACAGAAGCUUGAUUUGCAGCUGAACAUAAUCCACCUUCACAAGAUCAGGUAUUAUAACAGCACCAGACCUCUAAUGGCAGCUGCAAGAUCAUUUUAACAGUAGCAGCAGUGUGGCCUGAUGCUCCAGAUUUUUACAUGUAUGAAAGCUACUGAUGGUGGGGAGCGAGGCUCUGUUAGCGGGCAGCAGGAUGCUCCAGGCAUCCACUGUCCCCAUGUCCUCUAACCAGUGACUCCCAAGCCCAAUCUCAAGCAAGACUAUCCUGAGAGGGAAGCUGGGUAGCCUAGAGUGCAUCCAGGAGGAGUUCUACAUCAGCCCCCAAAAUACCAGAAGUUGCUGUGAGUCCACUGUUCUUUCUGGAAAACCCCCAUGGCCAACAAGGAGGCCACUGGUGAAGGAGGGACAGCAUUGAGAGGAGAGGUGAGAAAACCAGAAUACAAACUGGGACAGUGUGUGAACACCUAGCAGUUUCUGGAAAUCUCUGGCUGAUAGGAAACAGUGCUGGGCUCUUUUUGGUUGGGUUGCACGGGAGGAAAAGGAAAGAUCACAAUGGAUGGAUGGGGAGAUAAAAAGGGACAAGGAAAAGUGGUAAGAAGGAAGAGGACCAACACACAACAUUUUCCCAACUUGCGUACAGGUAAGAAUGAGUGUCUAUGCUGCUCUGUAAAUGCAAAGCACAAAAAGGAAGCAUAUGGAAAUCUUUUGUUCGUAUUUCUUUUUGGCCACCAGCAUGAACUGUACUGUCACAUUUCGGCUUCUCUUAUGCUCUUAAAAGCAUGCAUAUUAGUGACAUGUUUGGUUUUGUGUUUUUUUUCUGUGAGCAAUUGGAAAAUUUGGUUAGAAGGAUUGCUGGGUAAUUAAUGGGGUUUUCUAGAGUUUAAACUCAGAACCAGGCUUCAUCUUCUCAGAUCAUGGAAAAGCAGGGAAAAAUAGGAAGGUCCCUGGACUCCCCAUCUUGGGGAGCAGAAUGAUUAUACCCAUACGUGCAAGCAGAAAAGCAACCUGCUGCUCAGGGUUGAUGGCAGCAGGAUCCGCAGGAGCUCGUGCUCUUCCUGAAGAAGAGCUCAAACCAUCUCUCAGCAUAGCAAUCUGUGUAGAAACAGAUCUGUUUCAGCUUUGCGGUUAGACUGCUCUGGCAGUGCGACAGCCGGGACAUUCACUCUUUGUUAUACAAGCACUUCAAAAGGGUGGGGGACAGUGAUGGGAUAAGGAGUUGCCCAUGCCUCUUUCAUCACCUCUCCGGAAUGUGUGCCUUCAGGGCUAAUUUAGAUGUAUUUACGUUUAUAAAUGUGUGGCCUCUUCAGCCAUAUUUUUUAACUUUAAUUCCUGUCUGCCCUUGCUGGCACAUGCCCUUGGCAAUUUGUGGCUGUUUUGCUCAUUCGGCAUUGUAUAAUUGUCCUUUAUUACUAAAUCAAUAUUUUUUUAAUGGUUAAACACAGAGCUCAUGAAAGUGAUAUAGUCUAGCUCCAUUUUGCUUAGCAAAUACUUGUUUUUUUAAAUUAUUUUUUUAUUUUUGCUUCUUUUUCUCAAAAAGACAAUGUUUUGCUAACUGUAAAUUGGUUUGCAAGCCUCAAACUGAUGAUUUCAUGAGUCUUCCAGAUGCACCGCCACAGUUCCAGAAAGCUUCCUGACUGACAAGAAAACCAGGACUUCUGUGAGAUCUCCACAUCAGGAUACUAUUAAUAAAUGUUCUGUACCUUAGAAGGAACCCCCCAAUAUCACGCACGCUCCAUAUGGUUUCCUGCUCAGCACUGUGGUGGUGCUCUCCCUCUCCUUAUUCCUAAGUGUCCUGAGGCCCGAUGACACUUGGGCUGCGGUUGGUUGAACCAUCCCUUGUGGAGGAGGUACACAAGAUCUCAAUACCCAGCCCCAGCCAUGACUUAAUACAUGAAGACAUGCUCAUCCCAUGACAUCUGAAGACAUGUCCACACUCAUCCCAUGACAAGAUGAUGUUUGUGCUUAGACCAACUGGCAAGAGAUAAAAUGGAAGAACAGGAUCUAUGUGUCCCUGAAGACAGAGCACAGAGGAAAGAAGGUUGUGGUUCUCUGCCAAAGAUAAAGGUCUUCAUAAAACAGGAUGUAGGGUAACUUGGCACUAUUGAUCAUUUUAUUAGGAAGGAUCCAGCCCAUGAGUUUUAAUUUCAUGAAUCCUUUCACAUAAAAUAGUUGGCCCAUUUACAUUUUUGAACCUUCACAUAUAGCACUGCCCUUUAAGACCCAAGAGUGUACUUCCCCUGGCUGUCUCAGCCAUGCUGCACCCCAUUACAGGGGUCCGAUUGGCACAGAGUAAUAGACAGAGGAAAGUAAAUUUAGUUCCUGACGACAGGACUAAUUCCAAUCUGAGCUUUUUGGUACCUACACUCAACUCCAUGCAAAACCAUUUGGGAAGUGCCUGGACACCACAUUGACAAACAUGUUCACCUAUCUCCUCAUCAGUAUUACUUGUGAUCCCGCAGUGAUUUUCACACCAGAAGUGAUUUGGGAACCUGAAAAAAGGAUCUGCAUCACUUUGCACUGAAAUGCAGCCAUUUCUGGAAUGAGAUCUGUCUUAACAGCACAAGACAAUCUUACAUACAGUUAGGACACAAGGUAAAGACUGCCAUAUCCAGUUAAGCACAGGGAAGGAAGGAUGUAAUUACACAGAUUGGAAUUUGCCCAGAACACCAGGGUCAAAACCUCGACUCUUUUGAAAAGAGCCAUGGGAACUCUAAUAAUCACAAGUGGUCAGGGCCUUGGUUUUACAUCUCAUCUGAAAAACAACACCUCUAAUGAUGCGAUUUUCUUGAGUACCAUGUAAAGGCAUUCAUUCAAAGUGAAUAAGAAAGAAAAGUGCAUCCUACUGCAGCAGCUAGGUAUCCUUGGAGGUAUUCAUUUUGUUUCCAGUAGGCCUAUUUAAUCUGUUAGCUCAGGGGACAUAUACAUGCCCCUUUACAACACUGGUGUUGUGACAGAACAGGGCAAUGUCACAAGACAGAACUCAGUUUGUGAUGAUUUAUCAGCAAUUCAGAUCACUUCCCCACUGUUUUCACAACAGCAAGGCUCAUCCCAUGACCAUUCCAUCACAUGACUCAUGUUGUCUCCAAUGUGGAUCACAAUGACUUUUUAAUCUACGAGUGGCUACUAAACAAAAAGACAACUCUCUAUUGCGACGUUGGUGAUCUACUGCAUUCUUCAUGACUUAAGGACACAAAGACAUCACUGACUAAGAAAACAUUUUAAAAGUCACCACCACCAGGGUUUUGCCAGUUUCAUUUGUGAGGAUAAGCAUCAUCACUUUACAUCUGUUUUACUGAGGAAAAAAACAGUACUUAGCAGAGAGGACAGGCUAGCAGCUCAUGCAUGGGUAGACACUAACACUAAGCAAAGCUCAGCCAGGAUACCGUAACUCAGACAUACGUUAAACAUCUCAGAUUAGAAAUUACGUCCAUAUCUGUUCUUCCACACCUGCAUGUAUCUCUUCAGAAGCUCAUGAGCUGUCUUGUUGCUGGACUACAUACUGCAGACAGCCCUGAGACUAGGAGGAAUUAAAUCCUGCUAUGCUGUAGACUGAAAAAAAUACUACAGUUGGUAUUUCCAAGUUGACCAGUAAAUAUUCAUCCAGCUUCUCACCCUGUUCCUGUCUUCCCAUGGUACUGUACAGCUCUUGAGAAACAAACAACAAACCCAGCAAGGAAAGCGGAAAGAUUCUGGGGCAACAAGGCCUUCCUGCAAUAUUUAUAGUAUCAGAGAAAUUUACUGUCCCUGUACUGAGUGCUGCACUGCUGAUCCCCCACAUGCUCAAAGUACUGACAAAAGAUGGGCUGUGAGGAAAAGAGCUCCAAACAGGUGAAACAUUUCAGUACAGAACAUGUCAGUGUCAAAAAUACCUGAAGGAAGGCUUCUUGGAACUGAUCUUGACUUCUACCACAUUCCCCAUUUUUUAAAUAUGAAUGAAAAGAUGGCAAGAGUUUGUCACCUCCAUUCAAAUGCCACCUGUAAGAAGGAAUGCCCUACUGAGUACACUUCUACACAAUCUGUAGCAGAUCUGUGCUUGCGAUGGACUUCCAACAGCCCAUUCUGCACAGGAGGUCACAUCAGAUAACCACAGGGUCCCAUCUGGCUUUAGCAUCUGCGAAUCAAGGAUCAGAUACUUCCGCCACUAGUAUAACAAGCAAGAGCUAGUCUGUCUUGUAGAAUGACUGCCAAGAGGGUUUCUUUUUCACAAGCAUUUCCUUACACUUCAGGAACAUACGUGCAUGUACUGCAGAGAAAUUAAAUAAUAAAUUAUCAUCAAGGAAAGUUAGGGAGUUGACAUAGAAACCACUAAGACCAGCUGCACAUAACUAGAAAUCUCAAGUUUAUUUGAACAACCUCAGGAAACAAACUCAACUGGGUUCAUAGCAUGAGUAGGAGGAACUGCAUGUGGGAGAGCACAGGACAGCUGUACUGGAAAUAGAUCCUGGAGAUUCCACAGGCACUAUAUAGGCCUUUCAGCCAUAAUGUUAUUUGUAAUACAGGAACAUGCAGCACUGUCUCUUCAAAACAAAUGUAAAACCAGCUGUCAGUCCUUAUUUUAGGUAGGUACAGGAGACAACGUGACAUAUGUAACGCCCUAGGUGGUUUACAGUCAUACAAGGUAUGAUCGACGCUACAUGAUCUACAUGAAGGGAAGAUUAAAAAAGUUGAUAGUUCAUCUCCUUUUUACAAAAUCAGGACCAAAAUUCUGUGAUUUUUGUCUGUCUAUAACCAAGCAGCACAGACUGCCAUGUUUUCAAAGUAAAAUCUAGUUAACAGAAGCAUACAUACGUUUGCUCCUGGUCUUCCGUUAGAAGCUCAAAUGUAUAUUUGUCGAUUUUCCCAGCCAUAUACAAGUAUUAAUUACCUUGUUACGUGGGCAAUUUUUAUUUAUUUAAUAAUUCAAUGGUUAAUUAUUCCCUAUUAUUUGCUUGUGCCCUUAGAAGCAACUCACAGCUAAAUAUCUUCUUGUAUUCCCUUUGCAACAUCAAAGUUUCUGUAAAAAGACUUUAUAUCUUAACAACACGCAGUGCCCACAGCAUUAUUAAAACCUUCUCUUUCUUGUUGCUUUAUUCACUUUACUAUUCUCUCAUUGUUUUAUUUUAAUUGCUGGAGCUUGAUACCAUACUAAUUUUCCUCAGUAAGUUCAUAAUAUCAAUUUCCCUGAAGGUCAGAAACAAUACAUCAGGAAAUACCACCUGCUAUUCAGGGAUAUCACAGGAAAUUUGCAUUUCCACUUUGUAAAGUGUUAUUAUUUUGGACUGACAAGCCACAUUAUUUCAUUAUCACAAAAUGUUAGGAUGCCUGAAAGCUAUAAGGAGAGAGAAAGAAAAGGAAUCAGUGUCUUGGCUGGCCUCCCGCUAGCAUUUUCAUGGUCAUUAACAAUCAGAGUGAGAAGACAAACAACUUGCUGCUGAAAGAUAGGCAUGCUUUACACACAGUUCUCGCUGUCACUUCAGCGCAAGUAUGGGAGCAAUGAGGCCCCUUCCUGGGCUCAUUCAACCACAUUCAAGGCUGAUUUAAAGAUCAGGAGGAGGAGAAAUAGCAAUGUUUAAUAUUUAAACAAAAAAAUGUUUAAUUUUUAAACAUUUAUGUUCUUUUAUGAUUGUUAAAUCAAUAUUAAUAUAGAAUGUAAACCAUUUUACGGCCUCCACACAGGACUCCCCUGUGCUCCUUUCCCAAGCUGCCUGUUUUUGAGGAAGGUAGACGCUACCAGUGGGAGGUUCAAAAAUGAUGGUCUCAAUAAAUAACCCCAGACAAAAACCCGCAGCCCUGCUGCAGACACACUGCCGGACAACUUCAGUGAGAGUUCUGCCUGAGUAAAAACAUCAGGUUUUGGUCCAUUACCUUCCAAUGAACAGAAACUGUUUAUUUGUGGUUGGAGGUGCUUCCUCCUGUCUAAGCUUUCAGCUGUCCAGGCUGAGCUGAAGAGGUUCAGCCAAAGGGGUUUCCCACUAUCUCAGGUUGUAAGUGUGCUCCAGAGGACUCCCACAUUACCCUCUUGCAUCUGUAUGACCACCCUUGCCUUCAGUGACCAGGAACAGCUGCCACAGAUGAGAUGCCUUGACGGUGACUGAACUGAAAAAGCAAUCACCAGUGCUAGCCUCCACUGCAUGCUAAAACCUUUCCUAAAAAACCCUUAUAACCUGUAGACAAAAAUCAGGACAGUGAAGAAAAACAAGAGUAGAGAGAACAGCCAGCAGUGCCCACUGUUAGCUGAGUUUGUUGCAGUGAGAACUUCCAAAAAGCUGCCAGUAAGCAUUUGUGUGCAAACCCCCUGCCAAUCUGCAGAGUUCUGCUCACAUACAGCUGCUGGCUCUGCUCAUUCACUUUCUCACACAGCCGAGCCUCGUUCACUCAUCCAGAACAAGGUGCCAUGUCCUCUCCUCUGUCCCUGUGCCCUUCAGUGAGUGCCCAGAGAGGGGCUGCAGCUUCCUCCUCACAUCCCCCCAGGAUCCUUGAAGGGUUUUAUGGGGAGGAAAUGGCUUUGACAUGUAUUUUACUGAUGUUUUGAGGCAUAUGGUCUGAAUGCUCUGAAUGCCGUGGAAGAUUACUGUCACAUGUCCUAACCCACUGCCUAUCUGUUGACAUAGUAUCACCUUUCCUAUAUUGCUGGAUACCAUUUUCCCAUCAGCAUAGCUCCAAACACAGGGAUUAUAGCCAGGACACAAAAUCAAACAAUCCAUAUAUGCUUAAUAAAAUAAAUAUCAAUCAGCUUUUUAUACA